RNAcentral lists this ribosomal RNA (1702 nucleotides) under Vibrio cholerae. RNAcentral's name for it is "partial 23S ribosomal RNA". It matches the Rfam family "Bacterial large subunit ribosomal RNA", at positions 1243 to 2925 of the family's 2925-position model. The record is from RNAcentral. Lineage: Bacteria; Pseudomonadati; Pseudomonadota; Gammaproteobacteria; Vibrionales; Vibrionaceae.
UAAGCCGUUGAAGGUGAAUCGUAAGGUUUGCUGGAGGUAUCAGAAGUGCGAAUGCUGACAUGAGUAACGACAAAGGGGGUGAAAAACCUCCUCGCCGGAAGACCAAGGGUUCCUGUCCAACGUUAAUCGGGGCAGGGUGAGUCGACCCCUAAGGUGAGGCCGAAAGGCGUAAUCGAUGGGAAACGGGUUAAUAUUCCCGUACUUCUGACUAUUGCGAUGGGGGGACGGAGAAGGCUAGGUGGGCCAGGCGACGGUUGUCCUGGUUCAAGUGCGUAGGCUUGAGAGUUAGGUAAAUCCGGCUCUCUCUAAGGCUGAGACACGACGUCGAGCUGCUACGGCAGUGAAGUCAUUGAUGCCAUGCUUCCAGGAAAAGCCUCUAAGCUUCAGAUAGUCAGGAAUCGUACCCCAAACCGACACAGGUGGUCGGGUAGAGAAUACCAAGGCGCUUGAGAGAACUCGGGUGAAGGAACUAGGCAAAAUGGUACCGUAACUUCGGGAGAAGGUACGCUCUUGAUGGUGAAGUCCCUCGCGGAUGGAGCUGACGAGAGUCGCAGAUACCAGGUGGCUGCAACUGUUUAUUAAAAACACAGCACUGUGCAAAAUCGCAAGAUGACGUAUACGGUGUGACGCCUGCCCGGUGCCGGAAGGUUAAUUGAUGGGGUUAGCGCAAGCGAAGCUCUUGAUCGAAGCCCCGGUAAACGGCGGCCGUAACUAUAACGGUCCUAAGGUAGCGAAAUUCCUUGUCGGGUAAGUUCCGACCUGCACGAAUGGCGUAAUGAUGGCCACGCUGUCUCCACCCGAGACUCAGUGAAAUUGAAAUCGCUGUGAAGAUGCAGUGUACCCGCGGCUAGACGGAAAGACCCCGUGAACCUUUACUACAGCUUGGCACUGAACAUUGAACCUACAUGUGUAGGAUAGGUGGGAGGCUAUGAAGACGUGACGCCAGUUGCGUUGGAGCCGUCCUUGAAAUACCACCCUUGUAUGUUUGAUGUUCUAACUUAGACCCGUUAUCCGGGUUGAGGACAGUGCCUGGUGGGUAGUUUGACUGGGGCGGUCUCCUCCCAAAGAGUAACGGAGGAGCACGAAGGUGGGCUAAUCACGGUUGGACAUCGUGAGGUUAGUGCAAUGGCAUAAGCCCGCUUAACUGCGAGAAUGACGGUUCGAGCAGGUGCGAAAGCAGGUCAUAGUGAUCCGGUGGUUCUGUAUGGAAGGGCCAUCGCUCAACGGAUAAAAGGUACUCCGGGGAUAACAGGCUGAUACCGCCCAAGAGUUCAUAUCGACGGCGGUGUUUGGCACCUCGAUGUCGGCUCAUCACAUCCUGGGGCUGAAGUCGGUCCCAAGGGUAUGGCUGUUCGCCAUUUAAAGUGGUACGCGAGCUGGGUUUAGAACGUCGUGAGACAGUUCGGUCCCUAUCUGCCGUGGGCGUUGGAAGAUUGAAGGGGGCUGCUCCUAGUACGAGAGGACCGGAGUGGACGAACCUCUGGUGUUCGGGUUGUGUCGCCAGACGCAUUGCCCGGUAGCUAAGUUCGGAAUUGAUAAGCGCUGAAAGCAUCUAAGCGCGAAGCGAGCCCUGAGAUGAGUCUUCCCUGAUACUUUAAGUAUCCUAAAGGGUUGUUCGAGACUAGAACGUUGAUAGGCAGGGUGUGUAAGCGUUGUGAGGCGUUGAGCUAACCUGUACUAAUUGCCCGUGAGGCUUAACCAU